This is a long non-coding RNA of Tachysurus fulvidraco (yellow catfish), 1713 nucleotides long. RefSeq lists it as uncharacterized. Lineage: Eukaryota; Metazoa; Chordata; Actinopteri; Siluriformes; Bagridae. The record is from RefSeq and is a predicted model, not a curated record. The transcript has 3 exons.
CAUUAGUAUGGAUCCACAGUUGCCAAAAUGAGAUAUGAGCUACAAAAUGAUCCUGCAGCUUAUAUGAAACCUAUAUGCGACAUAUAUACGCAUAUAUGCAGCAUAUAUGCAGUAUAUAUACGCAUAUAUGCAGCAUAUAUAUUGCCAUAUAUGUGCAUAUAUGCAGCAUAUAUGUGCAUAUAUGCCACAUAUAGGUUUCAUAUAUGCGCAUAUAUCCACAUAUAGAUUCUUUCCAUUGAACAACAUAUAUUGGAGAUUUUAUCCUUUGUAAAGUGUAUCUGGUUUUAUGUUGGAGCUCAUCGUGAUAAAUGCAGCCAAAAUCUUCACCUGCUUUACUGUUGCCUGCAGACACACAUUAUUGUACUGCUCUCCAGCCCUUCUGCAAAUAAACUACCUCUUACUACAGCCAAAUAGUUCAACUCAUCAGUGCAUAGCACCUGCUGCCAUUUUUCUGCACACCAGUUCCUAUGUUUUUGUGCAUAGUUGAGUCCCUUUGCCUUGUUUCACAAGACAAUUCUUUCACAAAGACAACUUCUCCGGACAGUAGAUGGGUGUACCUAAGUCACACGCUGCAUUAAGUUUCCUAGGCCAAACCGUGGAGGACCAUAGACGCCACAGCACAUCUUGAAACUGCUGUCAAAUCUUUGCCAGGGAGAGACCUUGCUGAUGCAUUACGACUACUUUGUGUCUUGCCAUGGUGUAUGACCUGUGACAUGAAACUGUAAAUUAUUUAUAAACAACAUGCUUUAUUUUAAUUUUGACAGUAUAGCUACUUUUACUUAAUUGCAUUCCAUUUACACCAUAACAGGAACACACUACAAUAAAUUUUGAGAACUGAUCACUGUUCAUUUGCUGUAUAGUAUAUAUAACCUAUUUACAGGGACAAUUGUAAGAAAAUAAUCAAUGUUAUUCACAUACAUACGCUACAGUCUACAGCACACAGCCACAACAGAGACUGUUUUAAUGCAUGUUUUAAGUUCAGCAACAAUUACAGCCUUACAGUAUAAAAGAACUUUCAUUACCCACUCUCUAUACACUCUGCGUUUCUCAACAGGUCUUGCCAAGUUUUAGUAGUGUGAUUGUCUACCUGAUUAACAGAUUUUGUUUGUUUUUCAUGAUUUGCCUUAGCCCUGUCUAGUUUAUAAUGUUUGAUCAUUACCUAAACCCUGCCUGUUUGUUGUAUAAGAUAAUGCUGUAUUUACUUGCAUCUCCUGUCUAACACACAGCAAAUCUGAACUGAACUGAACUAAACUGAACUGAAUAGAAUAGAAUAUGAUAGAAUACUCUUUACUGAUUACUGUAAAUGUUAAUCUGUUAUAUCAUGUUAAUCUGUUAUAAAUGUUAAUAAGUUAUAUCAAAGAAAAUGUAAUUAAAAACCUUAAUAACUGAGCUAUAAAACAUAAUAGGUGCAUAUGAUUUUACACAUACAAUUAUGUACAGUAACUAACAUUACAUUAUUGAGGCACAGAUGGCAAGAGCUUCACUCACAAAGAUUGCUUAGCUACCAAGUUUCAGGGUAAGAGCUAUGGGAUAAAAAAUUAGUGAUUUACAGCGACACUCACACAUUAGUGAAAUAUUUAGACAAUACCAGAAGAGCAACAGUAGGUUGGUCUGUGCUACCUGCUGUGUCUGUGUCAUGUUCAUAGUUCCUGUUUUGUAUCCAUAGUUUGUGUUUAGACUCCUAAAUCUGUGUUUGUGUUUUAACUCUAAAUA